AAUAAAUAAAUAAAAAAGUUGAAAGAAAUAGUUCAUGUUCAUGCAUGGAUGAGACCAUCCUUCGUGGAUGGAUCAUGGAUGACAAAGCCGAGCUUUAUGCUAAAACAGUAGCAUGGGUGUGGAUAGUGAUUGCCCAUUACAUUCUUAUCCUUAAAAAUUCCCAUCAAUCAGUGCAAACGCAAAGAGAUAGCUUUGCCAACUAGCUCUCCAUAUGAAGCUCAGAAUGAGAUGCUUUCUUCUUCCUUCUCCUCCUCCUCCUGCUUAUCCUCUUAGUUUUACUUCCCUACUGGUUUGGAGAAUCUCCGUUGUCUUUGUCAAAUAUUUUUAUUUAUUUAUAAUCUUCAUAAAUGUGUGUUCACUGUAAACUGUUGUGCGCCGCAAGAUCCAAGCCUUAGUGGCUCAAAGUUGGUUGGUUUGCUCUUGUUUCUCUGGUAAGUUGUAAUGAAAGCGUCUGGCUCUUGCCCACAUUAUUUCAGGGGAAAUCUUGGACUUCACUCCAAGCAUUCGAUCGAUAAUUUUAGAAAAAUGCUAAUGGUAUAAGCAAGACCAGAAUUAGGAAUUUUUCGAUGGGUUGGCUAGCUAAAUAUUUUAACUUAAACUGUAAUGAUAUAUUUUUUUUCAUUGCCUAAUUUGCAAUAAACUUU
Molecule: long non-coding RNA, 644 nt
Filed under: Prunus dulcis (almond)
Lineage: Eukaryota; Viridiplantae; Streptophyta; Magnoliopsida; Rosales; Rosaceae
Description: sRNA ncRNA
Source: RNAcentral